RNAcentral lists this ribosomal RNA (230 nucleotides) under uncultured bacterium. RNAcentral's name for it is "partial 16S ribosomal RNA". It matches the Rfam family "Bacterial small subunit ribosomal RNA", at positions 562 to 791 of the family's 1533-position model. The record is from RNAcentral.
AAAGGGCGUGUAGGCGGCGGAUUUAGUUAGGCGUGAAAGCCCCGGGCUCAACCUGGGAACUGCGCUUAAUACUGAUCUGCUAGAGUCCGGGAGAGGCGAGUGGAAUAUCCAGUGUAGAGGUGAAAUUCGUAGAUAUUGGAUGGAACACCAGUGGCGAAGGCGGCUCGCUGGACCGGAACUGACGCUGAGGCGCGAAAGCGUGGGGAGCAAACAGGAUUAGAUACCCCAGU